UUCUCUUGUCCUUCAUUCCACCGGAGUCUGUCUCAUACCCAACCAGAUUUCAGUGGAGUGAAGCUCAGGAGGCG
RNAcentral lists this microRNA precursor (74 nucleotides) under Sus scrofa (pig). RNAcentral describes it as "mir-205 microRNA precursor family". It matches the Rfam family "mir-205 microRNA precursor family". Lineage: Eukaryota; Metazoa; Chordata; Mammalia; Artiodactyla; Suidae. The record is from Rfam by way of RNAcentral.